Molecule: ribosomal RNA, 257 nt
Filed under: uncultured bacterium
Lineage: Bacteria
Description: partial 16S ribosomal RNA
Rfam family: Bacterial small subunit ribosomal RNA
Source: RNAcentral
AGCUGCCUACGGGGCGCAGCAGUCGAGAAUCAUUCACAAUGGGGGAAACCCUGAUGGUGCGACGCCGCGUGGGGGAAUGAAGGUCUUCGGAUUGUAAACCCCUGUCAUGUGGGAGCAAAUUAAAAAGAUAGUACCACAAGAGGAAGAGUCGGCUAACUCUGUGCCACCAGCCGCGGCAAUACAGAGGUCUCAAGCGUUGUUCGGAAUCACUGGGCGUAAAGCGUGCGUAGGCUGUUUGGUAGGUCGUGUGUGAACGG